GAUGAACGCUGGCGGCGUGCCUAAUACAUGCAAGUCGAGCGAACGGACGAGAAGCUUGCUUCUCUGAUGUUAGCGGCGGACGGGUGAGUAACACGUGGAUAACCUACCUAUAAGACUGGGAUAACUUCGGGAAACCGGAGCUAAUACCGGAUAAUAUUUUGAACCGCAUGGUUCAAAAGUGAAAGACGGUCUUGCUGUCACUUAUAGAUGGAUCCGCGCUGCAUUAGCUAGUUGGUAAGGUAACGGCUUACCAAGGCAACGAUGCAUAGCCGGCCUGAGAGGGUGACCGGCCACACUGGAACUGAGACACGGUCCAGACUCCUACGGGAGGCAGCAGUAGGGAAUCUUCCGCAAUGGGCGAAAGCCUGACGGAGCAACGCCGCGUGAGUGAUGAAGGUCUUCGGAUCGUAAAACUCUGUUAUUAGGGAAGAACAUAUGUGUAAGUAACUGUGCACAUCUUGACGGUACCUAAUCAGAAAGCCACGGCUAACUACGUGCCAGCAGCCGCGGUAAUACGUAGGUGGCAAGCGUUAUCCGGAAUUAUUGGGCGUAAAGCGCGCGUAGGCGGUUUUUUAAGUCUGAUGUGAAAGCCCACGGCUCAACCGUGGAGGGUCAUUGGAAACUGGAAAACUUGAGUGCAGAAGAGGAAAGUGGAAUUCCAUGUGUAGCGGUGAAAUGCGCAGAGAUAUGGAGGAACACCAGUGGCGAAGGCGACUUUCUGGUCUGUAACUGACGCUGAUGUGCGAAAGCGUGGGGAUCAAACAGGAUUAGAUACCCUGGUAGUCCACGCCGUAAACGAUGAGUGCUAAGUGUUAGGGGGUUUCCGCCCCUUAGUGCUGCAGCUAACGCAUUAAGCACUCCGCCUGGGGAGUACGACCGCAAGGUUGAAACUCAAAGGAAUUGACGGGGACCCGCACAAGCGGUGGAGCAUGUGGUUUAAUUCGAAGCAACGCGAAGAACCUUACCAAAUCUUGACAUCCUUUGACAACUCUAGAGAUAGAGCUUUCCCCUUCGGGGGACAAAGUGACAGGUGGUGCAUGGUUGUCGUCAGCUCGUGUCGUGAGAUGUUGGGUUAAGUCCCGCAACGAGCGCAACCCUUAAGCUUAGUUGCCAUCAUUAAGUUGGGCACUCUAAGUUGACUGCCGGUGACAAACCGGAGGAAGGUGGGGAUGACGUCAAAUCAUCAUGCCCCUUAUGAUUUGGGCUACACACGUGCUACAAUGGACAAUACAAAGGGCAGCGAAACUGCGAGGUCAAGCAAAUCCCAUAAAGUUGUUCUCAGUUCGGAUUGUAGUCUGCAACUCGACUAUAUGAAGCUGGAAUCGCUAGUAAUCGUAGAUCAGCAUGCUACGGUGAAUACGUUCCCGGGUCU
Molecule: ribosomal RNA, 1372 nt
Filed under: uncultured bacterium
Lineage: Bacteria
Description: bacterial SSU rRNA
Rfam family: Bacterial small subunit ribosomal RNA
Source: RNAcentral